This 1414-nucleotide ribosomal RNA is filed under the name Nocardia fluminea. RNAcentral's name for it is "bacterial SSU rRNA". It matches the Rfam family "Bacterial small subunit ribosomal RNA". The record is from RNAcentral. Lineage: Bacteria; Bacillati; Actinomycetota; Actinomycetes; Mycobacteriales; Nocardiaceae.
CGGCGUGCUUGACACACGCAAGUCGAGCGGUAAGGCCCUUCGGGGUACACGAGCGGCGAACGGGUGAGCAACACGUGGGUGAUGCNCCUUGCACUUCGGGAUAGGCCUGGGAAAGUAGGUGUGAACAGGAUAAAAACACUGAUCGCAUGGUCGGGGGUGAAAAGAUUUAUCGUUGGAGAUGGGCCCGCGGCCUAUCAGCUUGUUGGUGAGGUAACGGCUCACCAAGGCGACGACGGGUAGCCGACCUAAAAGGGUGACCGGCCACACUGGGAAUGAGACACGGCCCAGACUCAUACGGGAGGCAGCAGUGGGGAAUAGUUGCACAAUGGGCGAAAAGCCUGAUGCAGCGACGCCGCGUGCGGGAUGACGGCCUUCGGGUUUGUAAACCGCUUUUGACAGGGACGAAGCGCAAGUGACUGUACCUGUAGAAUAAGGACCGGCCAACUACGUGCCAGCAGCCGCGGUAAUACGUAGGGUCCGAGCGUUGUCCGGAAUUACUGGGCGUAAAGAGCUUGUAGGCGGUUCGUCGCGUCGUUUGUGAAAACUUGGGGCUCAACCUUAAGCUUGCAGGCGAUACGGGCGGACUAGAGUACUUCAGGGGAGACUGGAAUUCCUGGUGUAGCGGUGAAAUGCGCAGAUAUCAGGAGGAACACCGGUGGCGAAGGCGGGUCUCUGGGAAGUAACUGACGCUGAGAAGCGAAAGCAUGGGUAGCAAACAGGAUUAGAUACCCUGGUAGUCCAUGCCGUAAACGGUGGGUACUAGGUGUGGGGCUCCUUCCACGGACUCCGUGCCGUAGCUAACGCAUUAAGUACCCCGCCUGGGGAGUACGGCCGCAAGGCUAAAAACUCAAAGAAAUUGACGGGGGCCCGCACAAGCGGCGGAGCAUGUGGAUUAAUUCGAUGCAAACGCGAAGAACCUUACCUGGGUUUGACAUACACCGGAAACCUGCAGAGAUGUAGGCCCCCUUGUGGUCGGUGUACAGGUGGUGCAUGGCUGUCGUCAGCUCGUGUCGUGAGAUGUUGGGUUAAGUCCCGCAACGAGCGCAACCCUUAUCUUAUGUUGCCAGCGCGUAAUGGCGGGGACUCGUGAGAGACUGCCGGGGUCAACUCGGAGGAAGGUGGGGACGACGUCAAGUCAUCAUGCCCCUUAUGUCCAGGGCUUCACACAUGCUACAAUGGCCGGUACAGAGGGCUGCGAUACCGUGAGGUGGAGCGAAUCCCUUAAAGCCGGUCUCAGUUCGGAUCGGGGUCUGCAACUCGACCCCGUGAAGUUGGAGUCGCUAGUAAUCGCAGAUCAGCAACGCUGCGGUGAAUACGUUCCCGGGCCUUGUACACACCGCCCGUCACGUCAUGAAAGUCGGGUAACACCCGAAGCCGGUGGCCUAACCCCUUGUGGGAGGGAGCCGUCGAAAAG